CAGUCGCCGCGGUAAUACGUAGGGUGCGAGCGUUAAUCGGAAUUACUGGGCGUAAAGCGUGCGCAGGCGGUUAUAUAAGACAGAUGUGAAAUCCCCGGGCUCAACCUGGGACCUGCAUUUGUGACUGUAUAACUAGAGUACGGUAGAGGGGGAUGGAAUUCCGCGUGUAGCAGUGAAAUGCGUAGAUAUGCGGAGGAACACCGAUGGCGAAGGCAAUCCCCUGGACCUAUACUGACGCUCAUGCACGAAAGCGUGGGGAGCAAACAGGAUUAGAUACCCCUGUAGUCCCUGUCUCUUAUAC
This 301-nucleotide ribosomal RNA is filed under the name uncultured bacterium. RNAcentral's name for it is "partial 16S ribosomal RNA". It matches the Rfam family "Bacterial small subunit ribosomal RNA", at positions 509 to 807 of the family's 1533-position model. The record is from RNAcentral.